RNAcentral lists this non-coding RNA (146 nucleotides) under Chlorocebus sabaeus (green monkey). Lineage: Eukaryota; Metazoa; Chordata; Mammalia; Primates; Cercopithecidae. The record is from Rfam by way of RNAcentral.
GCUGGGCGUGGUGGCGGGCGCCUGUAAUCCUAGCUACUCGGGAGGCUGAGGCAGGAGAAUUACUUGAACCUGGGCAACAGAGGUUGCAGUGAGCUGAUCGCACCACUGCACUCCAGCCUGGGUGAUAGAGUAAGACUCUGUCUCAC